GCACGGCGGAAGGGGGCGUGGCCUUGGCCGCCGCCGUGAGCCCCGGCCCCGCCGCCCUCGGUUGUUCGUUCCGGGAAUAAAAGAAGGGGGAUCGGUCACUGGUUGUUUGCUCCUAGGAUAAAGGAGAAUCGGAGAGUGCCAUGUGGAAAGGUGUCAAAAUCUUCUAAGAAUCAGGAUGUACAACAACUGCUACUUCCUCCUUACCUGCAAAGAAGGGUGUAUGAAGCCCACACUGACCCAAGCCAAGAAAGACUUCAGAUGACUUCCAACUCCUUGUUUAACUAUCCGGCUGAUGGCAAGCACUGAGUCAAUGCUUUCAGGAGCCCCACUGAUAUUACGAGUGAGACUAAGCUGCAUUCAACUCUGGAUUAUCCAAGAGAGCAGCAUGACAACACAGCCGAAGCAGAAACCCAGAUAUAGCCAGACCUGCCCAUGACAUUCGGAGAAGAGGCUGUCAUGCCAUCGGGAACGAUUGGUGACUCCGCGGGCUGUGAUGGGCAGGGGACCUCCUCAGAAGACGCAAUGCCGUGUGGCACGGUGCUGCGUGAACACAACAGCACUCCCACGAGCCCACACUAGUUCAGCAUCAGUCACCUCGGGGGUAUCUGCACCCAUGUUACACUUAAUCCCAGACAAUCUAGAGUUGACUAACACUAUUUAUUGUUAGGCCAUGAAAAUCCACUCUGAAUCCCUGCACUGGCACUGACCUCUCUGUCCACUGAACAUUCAUUAACUCUCGUAUCCUCACAUGCAAAGCCAGGCACAGCUCUGUUCCUGGAUUCCCCUUCCCCAUCCCUCCUUAAUAACAACCGUUUCACAGCUCCUCUUCCUGUCCCUGUCCCUGUGCCUAUGGUGGGGUACUUUUCAGCACAGUGAAGUCAGGACAACAGAUGAUAAAUACAUGGGAUUCCAGUAGUUAAUACUUCCCAAAGCUUACUAAUUCUGCACUGUGCUCAAACACCGAUAUUCUCGCGACACCAUUUUAUAGGAGAAGAUGCUGCUCAGCUGGUAGUCCCAAACUGGCAGCUCAAAUAUACACCUAGUUAAAUGCUUAAAGAGAACUGAAUUGCUUUUUAGAUGCUCCAUCCACUCAAACCCCAGGCUCUUUAUUAUUCUAGUGAUAUGGCAGGAUUUAGGGGCCAAAUUUAUGCAAAUAUUUUUGAAAACAACUAUCAGUAUUUAUAGUUGAAGUACUUAACAUCCUGAAAUUAUCAUCAUCACCUAGUUUUCCUAAGGCACCUUGGUUCCCCGCCUCUCCCCUGCAGUGACCUUUUAAAUGGUAUAUUCCUCGGGGCAGGCUCUGCUUCAUCACGUCUCUCCGAGGUGACAAAAUGACCAUUAACACCUAAAAGAACUAAAAAGAGAUGACAUCCUGUCUACUGGUGUUGUACCGUUUAUAGGAAUGGACAUUUUUUUGUGGAUGCUGUUUGCCGCAAUGUCUGAUUUCUGUGCAUGUGGGAGGUCUAUGUUGAGAUGUCUGUAUGCCUGCAUUACAACCUGGUAGUUGCUGUCAUGGCCUAUGGCUUGUGCCUUUGGUUUACCUCUCUGCCCUUCUAUUUGCUUAUCAGGUUAGCGACGCACUGAAAUGCUCGGUUGCAAAAGUUGUAAUUUCUUUUCAGUGGGUCCUUGAAAACUUACCCAGCGGCUUCAUUUCCAUCCACAGCUUUCCAAUUCUACUAAACUUUUUCCCCUCCAAGCUCCUCAAAAGUAAAAGUGAGAGAAUUCUGCUGAA
Molecule: non-coding RNA, 1732 nt
Organism: Phalacrocorax carbo (great cormorant)
Lineage: Eukaryota; Metazoa; Chordata; Aves; Suliformes; Phalacrocoracidae
Source: RefSeq, a predicted model, not a curated record